UCGGGAAUUUUGGGCAAUGGGCGAAAGCCUGACCCAGCAACGCCGCGUGAAGGAUGAAGUCUUUCGGGAUGUAAACUUCGAAAGAAUAGGAAGAAUUAAUGACGGUACUAUUUAUAAGCUCCGGCUAACUACGUGCCAGCAGCCGCGGUAAUACGUAGGGAGCAAGCGUUGUUCGGAUUUACUGGGCGUAAAGGGUGCGUAGGCGGCGUGAUAAGUCACUUGUGAAAUCUUCAAGCUUAACUUGAAAAAGCCAAGUGAUACUGUCGUGCUAGAGUGUAGAAAGGGCAACUGGAAUUCUUGGUGUAGCGGUGAAAUGCGUAGAUAUCAAGAGGAACACCUGAGGCGAAGGCGAGUUGCUGGGCUAACACUGACGCUGAGGCACGAAAGCUAGGGUAGCAAA
Molecule: ribosomal RNA, 400 nt
Filed under: uncultured bacterium
Lineage: Bacteria
Description: bacterial SSU rRNA
Rfam family: Bacterial small subunit ribosomal RNA
Source: RNAcentral